This 314-nucleotide small nuclear RNA is filed under the name Meriones unguiculatus (Mongolian gerbil). RNAcentral's name for it is "7SK RNA (ENSMUGG00000008464.1)". It matches the Rfam family "7SK RNA". From Rfam's summary of the family: 7SK was discovered as an abundant small nuclear RNA in the mid-70s but a possible function has only recently been suggested. Two independent studies have found that 7SK RNA binds the CDK9/cyclin T complex (known as elongation factor P-TEFb). The record is from RNAcentral. Lineage: Eukaryota; Metazoa; Chordata; Mammalia; Rodentia; Muridae.
GGAUGUAAGGGUGAUCUGCCUGCAGCAUCAGUCACCCCAUUGAUCACCAGGGUUGAUUCGGCUAAUCUGGCUGGCUAGGCAGGUGUCUCCUUCCUCCCUCAAUGCUCCAUGUGUGCCCCGCACCCAGAACUGUGCCCUUGGUCAAAGACAAUGACCUUCCAGAAUAGAGGAGAACAGGUUUUUGGUCAAGGGUAUAGGAGUAGCUGUGCUCCCCUGCGAGAACCUCAAAACAAGCUCAAGGUCCACGAUAUAAAUAUUUCUGAAAAGAUAUAAAUGAGUCUUUUAAAUAAUAGUAUUUAUUGUGUGAUUCCCUA